Micropterus dolomieu (smallmouth bass) is the source of this 781-nucleotide long non-coding RNA. RefSeq lists it as uncharacterized. The transcript has 5 exons. The record is from RefSeq and is a predicted model, not a curated record. Lineage: Eukaryota; Metazoa; Chordata; Actinopteri; Centrarchiformes; Centrarchidae.
CUCACGCGAGAUUUUCAGUCUUGAUCUCUUUGGUUGGCUGUACGGUGGACCUGAGCAGGGAGGCUCCAGCUGCAUCAUGCCGUUUUCAAAUGUAGUGAUGCAUUCGUAUAUAAAUAUGGACUUUACUACAGAUGAGCCGCCGUGAACAGGCAGAUUUGGCUGUUGUGGAAUGAGGAUAUUUUCCUGCCAAAAAAGGGCUGAGCUUUUCGUCGUAAUGAAAGGUUCACGGUUCUUCUGUGCUGCUUGACUCUUCACUGUCGAAAGGGAGGAGACAUGGUGAAGAGGGCUUAUCUGCACUGCAAGACGGCACAAGGCUGCAGAGAAGUUGAACAGAUGACUUCAGUGGAGAAGUGGACACCACACAGCUUGGAUCAUCCAGAAGUCUGGCGCCACAGUAUAUUACAGCACAUCUGUCUGAUUAAACCAAGAGUGAUCUAAAACAUGUUUAUUAAAAUUCCAGCAUCAUGGCACAUGAUAAGUAACAUGAAUCCUACUGGGAGCACCCAGCAUGCGUUAGUCUAUGCUGAAGGAUCAUCUGUAAGAUUUCUUCUUCAAAUUGUCUAAGAAGAACUGUUCUUCUUGGAGGUAUUCACGGUCCUGUGAGCAGGAGAAGAAAGUGAUUAGCACCAGAAAGUUGAACUGUAAAAUGUUUGUGAAAAUACAUGUACUAGCAGACUAAGUAUUGGGGGGGGAGGAGAGAUAAUUGUGAGUGAGCCACAUGUUACUGUAAUAAGCCUCUUUAAAUUUUUUUUUUAUUUACAUUAAAGCCUCAAACAACCUA